This is a long non-coding RNA of Solea solea (common sole), 1627 nucleotides long. RefSeq lists it as uncharacterized. Lineage: Eukaryota; Metazoa; Chordata; Actinopteri; Pleuronectiformes; Soleidae. The record is from RefSeq and is a predicted model, not a curated record. The transcript has 2 exons.
AACUGCAGGGGAGGUCCCAGUGAGCUCCAUCCCCUCAACCCUCCACCAGUUACCUGAAUCCUGAAAAGAGCACUUGCAGGUAGAUUGGGAUGGAGCAGCCCAGCCUGUCAGACAGGUAAAGGUGCCACCCCUGUAAGGUGAUCAGGGCUUGACCCACCCAAGUACUCACUGAAGAAGGCAUCAGAGCCUGUGGUGAAGGAGGAAGAGAGACAUGAUGAGAAAAUGUUUUUGUAUUUUUACAUCAUUAGCUGAAAGCUUUUCUUGAUAUAUUUUCAUGGUUGGAGUAUUCAAUGUUUAGGGUGGGGACCUAUAGUGAAUUAUCCACAGUUUUGUUUUUGAAAAUGACAAUAUAAUAGAUACAAAAUAAGAAUACCAAAGCUCAAAUAAUCAACUUUUAGUCUAAGGAUUUGGAUUGCACAGUAUGCGAUAGAAAAACACCAUCUGGUUUUAUAUUUACUGCCUAUAACCCUUAUUCCACUGCAAAUGCAGUUUUUAAGAAAAUGAUAACUUAAUUUUCCAUAAUUUUCUUGCUUUGAAUAGCAACUAAUAAUUCUUACUACCUUAUUCUUAAGUCAGCCAUGUUAUUACGAUGCAAUACACAUUAGCACAUUCUAUGUAACAAGGAAACUUAAAUUGACAGUGAAAGCGUACAUUCAAGAAAUUAUUAUGCCAAUUCUAUACCAUUGUUUUUUAAUCUAAUUUUGUUAUGGCUGGGACUGUGUGCACUUACCUCACUAAAGUCAAGGCAUUGUAAUUGUAUAGAUUAAUAUUCAUGCUUCAAAGAAUAAAUCAAUUAAGAAACUAUGAAAAUAUUUAGGAGGAUCUCAUUAAACAUAUCAGACAACGGACAAUGAAUGCCCCCCAUCUGGUACAGACAGACAAGCCUUUUUUUGUGCGCACCGCUCCUGCGUUGUGCGCUUCUCCGUAUCCAACGCAGCCUGGAUCAUUUCUCCAAGUGCGGCUUUAAACCCCAAGUAAUGGUCUUUAUGGUGAGGCUUAUGAUGACUCCUUCGAGAGCCUGGAACUCGCUGUUGGCGAAUGGAAGAGUCUAAUCCACAUGGAGAUCAUGACUUUUGACCCUGACGACCCCAGUAAAACAGCCAUGUAGGAUGCUGUGAUGUACUAGCACCUCCUGCUUUGGUUAAAAUACCUACACAUGCUGCACGUGUCCUCUACAGCAACUAUUGAUUGACAGACAUUUUUUUGUGCAUAUUGCCAGCCUGGUCUCCCACUAAAUACUGUUAUUUUUACUUUUAUGCAAACCAUCGGAAAUGUUCUUGCACAUUUCAUACAGAAAAUACGACUGCAUUGUUUAUCGAGAUGAUGGUGACACUGAGGAAAACCUAGCCUUAACACGUGCUACUCAGUAUGACUAAACCUAAUCAUAUUCAUAACCAGGAAAUGGAUAUCUAUACCCUUAUUGCCUUAUUUCAGUGCCCAGAAAAAAGUUUCCAAGGGAAGUCUGUAGACAAAAAAAACACUACCUCAGGUAGACUUAAAUCAGUAAUAUGAUUUUGAUUCAGAAACUUGAGCUCACAUUUGUCUGUGGUUUGCAGAAAUAUACAGCAACAACAUGUGACCCUGGUUUUGGUGCUUCAGUAAAAUAAAAUAAAACAUUUUUUUUCAA